AUUGAACGCUGGCGGCAUGCUUUACACAUGCAAGUCGAACGGUAACAGGUUAAGCUGACGAGUGGCGAACGUGUGAGUAAUGCCUCGGAACGUGCCCGGUCCUGGCGGAUAACACUUCGAAAGAAGUGCUAAUACCGCAUCCCAUCUGCGGAUGAAAGCGGGGGACCGUACGGCCUCCCUCCAUCGUAGCGGCCGAUGUCAGAUUAGGUAGUUGGUGGGGGAAAGGGCCACCAAGCCGACGAGCUGUAGCUGGGCUGGGAGGACGACCAGCCACGCUGGGACUGAGACACGGCCCAGACUCCUACGGGAGGCAGCAGUGGGGAAUUUUGGACAAUGGGCGCAAGCCUGAUCCAGCAAUGCCGCGUGCAGGAAGAAGGCCUUCGGGUUGUAAACUGCUUUUGUACGGAGCGAAAAGGCUUUCUCUAAUACAGGGGGCUCAUGACGGUACCGUAAGAAUAAGCACCGGCUAACUACGUGCCAGCAGCAGCCGCCG
Molecule: ribosomal RNA, 493 nt
Filed under: uncultured bacterium
Lineage: Bacteria
Description: partial 16S ribosomal RNA
Rfam family: Bacterial small subunit ribosomal RNA
Source: RNAcentral